RNAcentral lists this long non-coding RNA (3491 nucleotides) under Triticum aestivum (bread wheat). RNAcentral describes it as "long non-coding RNA (TAES_LNC005297)". Lineage: Eukaryota; Viridiplantae; Streptophyta; Magnoliopsida; Poales; Poaceae. The record is from RNAcentral.
ACAUUUGCUGUGAGGGUUCUACAUUUCAACAGAAAUGCAACUGCACCAUAUUUUGAAUGAAUUUACAUUCCUAAUAUUCAAUUCAUAUUUAUGCAAUACAUACACAAGCAAUUGGACUCUUCUAUUCAUUCAACAUAUAUAGAAGAUUCACAAGUUUUCUUCACUCAAGUUAACUACAACCAUCAAGGAGAUACAUGUAUCAUCAUACAAGUCGUGGCCUAUUACAAAAUAUGAUGGCCAAUGUUUCUAAGAGGCAAGUGUUUGACCACUCGACCACUAUAUAAUAUUAUCAAAAAGACCAAAUCUUCAGUCACCAAGCCAGCACCAUGAGGACAUUAUUCGGUCAACCUGGGGACUUGCUACUGUCUAUUUCUUGUCACUGAAAAAAGAAGUGAUAUGUUUCAGCAAUCUUAGAAAUAGUAGAAUUUAUUCAAAAUUGUGAGUCGCCCUUGAGUCAAAAGAUCAAUGAAAGAAAUAGAAGAUACGCAACAGAUUGGCAGCAGUUCUAGAAAUAACAAACAAUCAUAUAUGCACUUGUAGGACAGACUGGGAUUAUGUUGCGGUUCAUGCAUGCCACAAAAAAUGUGUAGUAUACAAUAGGGGUUUGCAUAUAUUACAAUCUGCUAUGGUUAAAAAUCUGAACCUGAACGUAUGAUGCUACAUCACCUAUGUUUCUCUAAAAUAAAGAGCCAAGUGUAAUCCCAAUUUGUGGUACUGAAUAAAUAUGCUACCCUGAAAAAUAUUGGUCAAUUUUUAUUGUGGCUGAUCUCAAAUAGAUAGCAAGCUUCAGUAUAGCUAGUAGGAAAUGCAGACUUAUCAAGGUUUUCGAGACGAUGAGUCGUUCCCGGGUUGCGAGGUCGAGCAUGGCCGAUCGAUUAGUCUCGACUAGUUGAGGGGUUAGAGUCAAACCUGGCCGUGCGAUCGAUGACUAGUCGCGCGACUUAAAAACAGUGAAACUUAUGAUCAUUUGUAUUGCGGCUUAUUAAUUUGAACAAAAAUGCAUGAAAAACACUCGCAUAGAGAACAGCAGCACACAAGAUAUAAGCUAAGAAGCAUGCAUACGGGGAUGGAGACAUGGCGAUACACAUUAGGGGACAUGGGAUACAACAUUUUCCAAAACAGCAAUUAGGGGAUACGACAAGUAUAUAUAUAAUAAAAUAAAAAAUAUGCUAUGUAAUAUAGAAUUAAGACAAAAAAUGAGAAGAGAUAAUACAUCCCCAUUUGUCGUCUCCUUUUUCAUGUGCUUAACUGAUCCUCCAGACCCAAGCGAUUGAUCCUCCCAGAUGCUAUACUACCUAACAUCAAGCAACCAAGCAGCAAUCAUUCAUGUGUAGCAAGCAGCAGCAGCAAAAGCGUUCAAUAAAGCAAGCAGCCGAGCACAAGACUGGGUGUCAUUCUUGCUGGAAUAAUAUUCACAUGAAUGUGCUUGCAAACUAAACCAUACAUUUUCUGCUAGAUUCGAUGAUCAAGGCUCGAGACUUGAUACUAUCUGCAUGAUAAUCAGGUGCUGCUACACAUAAAAGCAUAGAAACCAAAUAUUCAAUGUUCUUCCAUAACCCAGAUUUAGUAUCACCAUAUUGUGCCCUUAAUUAUUUGAAGGAAAGUAGGUAUUGUGAUAAUCUGAUGCAUCCAAUGUUCAUAGUGACAUUACAAACUGUACAGUAUGUGUUAAGUUGUGAAGCAUCAAACCUGGCAAGAAAAUGGAAAGGAUACUUGAAAGAAAAACAAUAGUGUUUAGUUCAAACUUUAGACCCUUUUCCCCAUUCUAAUCAUAUUUCUUUCUGAACCAAGCAUGACACUAUUGUUCACAAAUAUAUAGCAGUGAAGCACACAAUGCCCUUUCUCCAAAUAUAAAAUAACAUUCAAUCUCUGAUAGCACACAUAGCAGUGAAGCUGUGAAGUAAACAAUUUGUUUUUACAUAAAACCACAUUAGAAGUGUCAUAUCACAGGAAAAGUUCACAAGCAUAAUACCUAAUAUCACAUACGAAAAGUCAUCUAAAUUAGAAGUUCCUCGUCGCCAUCUUUGUGCUACAAUCUCUGAGGGUGUUUCCACAUUUUCGCUUGCUUGAGGAAAUGCCAGUUGCUGCAUCAAGUUGUUUCUGCAAAAACAGAGCAAAUGAGGCACCCCAAGUUAUUUCUACAAUGAACUCAGUUCAACCUAUACUUGUCGUCAAUUGACAUUCAAUCACAUGCACAUCAUUACUUAAAAAAACAUGAUGCAUGGUACAUGUGACUUACAAUUAGGGCCUCUGCUUAGUGUGGGAGAAACUCCAGUUUUACAUGUAUGUUCUUUGACAAAUAUGUCUUCUCUCUGCGGGUCGUAGACAAGUUCCUCAACCUGCAGCAAAUUUAUUUAACAGUAAUUAAAAAUAAAGAAUUUCAAAAAGAAAGAAAAAACAUUGUCACUGAUGAGCUGACUAUUGAAAAUAAACUUGUUGUAGGCUUGUAGGACUUGCACCAGAACCACAGAACCACAAAAAGGCCAGCCGUGUUAAAAACAAACAAUUGGGUGUUGCAUACUUUUAUUCUAGAGAAUUCAGAUAAGCAAUUAUCAAGAAUAUAGCUGUCAUUAGCAGUGACCUAGUUUAGAUUGGGGUGUGUGUGGUGCGAUAGAGAGGGGUCAAUGGUAGAACUAAAUUCCUGCAAGGCCAUAUGUUUUAAUCAAACUUUAACAUUCAUACAGAAAACCAAGAAACUGUAUUUCAAUACAAAAACCAAAUGAACCUUUCCAAGUUGAAUAAUGAGCUGUACGAUGGGCACCAGAUUAUGACUAGCAAUGUUCAAGUUCUUCUUGGUGUGGGUGAAAUAUAUACUGGAUCUCCCCAGAGAAAUUAACUAAAUACUUAAUUUACUUCUAAUUAUAAAACGAGAAACGAAUUUGUUGACCCUCUGAAAUUCUCCAAACUCUAACGAAUCACCAGAUCUGUUUUAGUUCAUCAUCAUGGAACCAGCCGGAUCUCGAAGCGCUCACAUUCAUAGGGAAACAAGCAGUAACAUAAGAAAACAGAAGGAAAAACGGACGCUCAAUCUUACCUGUAAGCUGCAGCUGCUGGACUUAGAGGCGGGGCAAGACGGGGGUCGCCGGUGGUUGAGGUCGAUACCAUGGGCUGCUGGAUGUAAGUUACUGAAGAAAUGGCCGGAGCUGGGAGAGGCGGCGACGAGGGCGAACCAGCGGGCGCGACGCCCGCCAGGUGAGCAGAUAGCCCAGCGGCACCUCAAGCUGCGGAUGGUGGGGAGGCACAGCAGAUUUGACAGGAGCUUCUGAAUUCAACACCGGGGGUGGGAGGGGCAGCGGCGCGACCGUAUCGGCCGAGCGCACGGAGGUGGCGGUGGCGGUGGCUAGGUGGGGAUUUUAGUUAGGUAUGUGUGUGCGUGAGGUAGACGAUGUGUGUGCGUGAGGAAGGGGGGCUUGGAAAAUAUCUGGAUUUUGGGCCUCGGGAGCGCGAGGCUCUUGGCGCUUGUAUUUUGGGCUCUGGCGCGUGAAGGGAAG